RNAcentral lists this ribosomal RNA (468 nucleotides) under uncultured bacterium. Its description in RNAcentral is "partial 16S ribosomal RNA". It matches the Rfam family "Bacterial small subunit ribosomal RNA", at positions 28 to 507 of the family's 1533-position model. The record is from RNAcentral.
GACGAACGCUGGCGGCGUGCUUAACACGUGCAGGUCGAACGGAAAGGCCCUGCUUUUGUGGGGUGCUCGAGUGGCGAACGGGUGAGUAACACGUGAGUAACCUGCCCUUGACUUUGGGAUAACUUCAGGAAACUGGGGCUAAUACCGGAUAGGAGCUCCUGCUGCAUGGUGGGGGUUGGAAAGUUUCGGCGGUUGGGGAUGGACUCGCGGCUUAUCAGCUUGUUGGUGGGGUAGUGGCUUACCAAGGCUUUGACGGGUAGCCGGCCUGAGAGGGUGACCGGCCACAUUGGGACUGAGAUACGGCCCAGACUCCUACGGGAGGCAGCAGUGGGGAAUAUUGCACAAUGGGCGGAAGCCUGAUGCAGCAACGCCGCGUGCGGGAUGACGGCCUUCGGGUUGUAAACCGCUUUCGCCUGUGACGAAGCGUGAGUGACGGUAAUGGGUAAAGAAGCACCGGCUAACUACGUG